Molecule: RNA transcript, 3476 nt
Organism: Panicum virgatum (switchgrass)
Lineage: Eukaryota; Viridiplantae; Streptophyta; Magnoliopsida; Poales; Poaceae
Exons: 7
Source: RefSeq, a predicted model, not a curated record
CCGUCCCCGAGGCCUGUCACCCGCCCCUGCGCCGUCCCCCGCCCCGGGCUCCAGACGCGGUGCCAUCCCCGAGCACCGGCGCCCCGUCCCCGAGCCCUGGCGCCGCCAUCCCCGAGGCCCGUCCCCCGCCCCUGCGCCGUCCCCCGCCCCGGGCUCCAGACGCAGCGCCGUCCCCGAGUAUCGGCGCCCCGUCCCUGAGCCCCGGCUCUGCUGUCCCCGAGGCCAUCCACGCCGCGGCCGCGCUCGCCCCCGUCCCUCGGCCCUGCCCCUGCAGGGGCCGACAGCUCCGCCGCGGCCGCUCUCGACGGCGUCGCCACGCGGCCGCACUCCCGGCGCGGAUCCCCCACAACGGCGUACUCGCACAGGUCUCUGGUAUAAUGGGGGCGAUUUUCAUGAUUCAAGUCUUGUCGUGGGAAACAAGCUGAAGCUGAGAAUAAUGCGGAGAAUGAUGAUGGAGGGGCCCGUAGUAAUAGUGAGGGUGGAGGGGAUGGAAGCCCUUCUGAGUACUUAAACCUCAACCAAAAUGAUGAGGUGCCAGCUCAGACUGAGGAAGAGACCAUGAUAUCAGCUGCCGGUAGGGCCAAACGAGGUCGCAACAAGAUGCCUAAGGGUCGGUCUCUUAUUACCGAGCUCGAUGAAUUAGGUGAGCCCGUCGCUCCUGUCAAGGUGAUGGGGCCAUACAAGUCAGCUAUUGGGGUGGUGGUGAAGGAAAAUGUGCCCAUCACGUACAGGUAUUGGAAUACGAAGGAUAAGACUUGGGUGGUACCAGACUCAAUCAAGGAAAUAUGUUGGGGCAAGUUGAAAGAAAAGUUCAUCUUCCCCGAGGAUUCAGAGCCAUUAGCACGGCGUCGAGCACUGUUUCUCAUGGGCAACUCUUUCAGAUACUUCAAAUUUACCUUGAACAAGCAUGUGAAGAAUGCAACUAAGCCAGAUUGGAAGGAUUUUCCGAACCAACGACCUUUUUGGGAACAGUUUGUCUUGUACAAGAGGUCAGAGGAGGCACAAGCUAGCAGCGCCACAAAUUCACAGAAUUGUAGGAAAAAUGAUAAGCCCCAUAAGACCGGCUCUCGUGGGUAUAUUAGAAAAAUACCCGAGUGGGAGGAGCAGGCAGAGAGGCUGGUCCAUAGUGGUGUUACGCUGCAGACAGAUGGGUGGGAUCCUCGGGCCGUGAGGUAUCUUCUAGCGAGGGGUGCGUACUACAAUCCUAAUGGUUCCCUUGGUUUUCGUGAUCGUGAUGCUGAGGAUCUUGGACGCAAGAUUCAGGAAGCACACGAGGCUGCUUCCACAGGCGCUUUUGUGCCAGACAGGGAGAACGAUGAGCUGACUCGAGCACUUGGAUCCAAAGAGCACCCAGGGCGCACACGUGGGACCGGCAAUGUUCCAUGGAGGUUUGCCUUCCCCGAACAUUUGGGCACAUACAGGAGCCGUGGGAGGAGGAAUGCUCAACAACAGGCCGAGUGGCAAAGUCUUUUACAAGCUGUCCGUGAAGAAGUAAAUGCAACGAAUGAGAAGUUUCGGGCUGAGCUUGUGGAAUCACUUUCCCGUGGUGCUCCCUUGGCACCAGGAGAAGCAAUGAGAGAUGCUGCGCCAGAUCUUUCAAGUCCACCAGGGUUGGUUCGGAGUAGCUGUGGAAGCACUGCGUUGCCUGAGGAGGAUGUUGGAGUCACCUUCCCUGUGGAUAAGAUCACACAACCAACAAUCUGCAAGCUAUACAUCCAUCAGAAGUUCUUUGAUAUGAAGGUGGCUGUAGGUCAGGCUUGGCCAACCGGCGAAGGGGUUAUGCUACAUAAUCGCCCUUUACCUGAAGGUUAUGUAAAGGUUACCGUUGAUUCUCUUGUUAAGAGGAAAUACAAAAAUGUGGAGCUGGAUAUCUCCGGUGAUGACAGUAGGUUGCUAGGGGAUAACAUCGGAGGAUUUGUGGCGUGGCGGAAAUGCUACAUAAUAUUUGAAUCAGAAUCUGAGUCAUCCGAUGAUGGUCCUCGAGAGUCACCGGAGAGGGACUUACCUCCUUCACCAAAGUCCAACAGAGAAUCAAGCCCGCCGUCACCUCAAAGAGAGCUAACUCCUCCUAGUCCUCCGAAAAAAAGGCGAACAUCAUCGAGAACACAGAAAAUAUCAUCUCAGAAGCAAUAUUCAGAACCGGCAGAAAAGCCAGAGGGACCAUGUGAAGGGACGGGCAAGAAACAGGUGAGUGGAAGCAUAACAACGCUACUCAAAGAAAAAGGAAAGAAAGUAGAGGACUUCAUAGUCCCCAAAGGUGCAAUGGACCAUUUCUUAAACUUAAUGAAACUGCCGCAAACUGGAAAUAAUCAACCUCCGCUUUCAGACUAUGAGCGAACUAUGAAUAUAGAGAGGUGGCAUGAAGGAACCCGAGCUGCACACAAGUUAAAUGUAGCUGAACGGGGCCGCAUUUUGUGAACAAAACAACAUGACAGAGUUAGAACUUCUUCAAAUUGAGUAUGAAGAAGAUUGGUGGAAACAACCAUUGCCACUACCACCGAUUACCUGGCAAUUUGAAUUGGGGAAAGAUCUGGUGGCCCCAGAACAAAUCCCGAAGCUACCCACAAGAAUGCGACAGUUGCAUUCUUGGUACAAGAUGCAAAAAGGUAAGCUGUUUGGGGCAAGUUAUCUUGAUGAAGAUCUUCAUAAGGGGGAAGGCAGAGUGUGGGUUGAUUUCGAGCACUUGUAUCAUUUCUACCAACAGGUUGCUCUCGACGUCUCAAUUAUGACCUUGUGGACUGUAAUGGAGUCACACAAAUGUAGACGAUGUGGGAUUAACAAUAUAGGCUUCUUGGACCCUAGCACCGUACAUGAGAACACAGUCAAUUUACCAAGUACCGUUGACUACUUGUACAAAGCUUUCCUCUCCAUGCAGGAUAAAAGAUCCAUACUUCUUUCAUACAAUUGCUUUUAUCAUCAUGUCCUACUCGAUAUCAGCCUUAGCGAUAGUCGAAUCGAGGUUUCUGACUCACGAAAGAGGCCAUUAUCACUAAUCCAGCCCGUCAUUGAUGUCCUCAACAAGGCCUUCCCUAAGUACCGUAAGAAAAGAAAAAUCCAUAGACCUUUUUGGGGAGACUUCACUGUAGAAGAGGCUAAAUACAUCCUCAAGCAGCCUCCGGGCAACGAUCACUGUGGGUUCUAUGUUAUGCAUUACAUGCACUGCUACACCGGCGAUUGCAGAAGCGCCGAAAUGAACACUGAGUUGGAUUCAGGUGAAUUGCUCAUAGGCGAGCUAGUAGCACUUCAAGAAGAACUAGCCGGAUGGCUUGUGGACUACGUGGUGAAGCCAGGAUCUGAGUACAGCAUAAUCUAGGUGUAAUGUCUAGAUCGUAUCGUUCUUGUCAAGCAUUGUAAUAUAUUUGGUGUAUGGACUAGAUAUUCUUAAACUUGAUGCAUGGACUCUAUAUUUUUUAUUAUGAUGUUUGAACUCUCUCAUUUGAUUUCAAUGUAUAAUAUCUUAUGGUUCAAUUCUGCUG